GCAGACUAGCAACACACAGAACCAAGAACAUGGACCGUCACGAACAUCUUUCAAUUUUCCUUUUUAAUAUUUUUCUGAAUCUUAAUUUUAUGCAUGAAGAUGAAAUGAUGGUUAUCAUACAAAAUAUCAAUGAACAAAAGAAAUGCUGACAAGUGCUUAUGGAAGAUAGCUUGUGCAAGCCAGGAUGCUUUGUCUGGAUUUACAAUGUGCCGCCCUUAAAGGGGAAAAGUGGUUAUCUUAAGCCACAACCUAUUUUAUUCAUGAAACACUGUAAUAACUGCAGGCUGAGUCAGAGAGCAUCUGUGGCUUCAGCAGUCAGAUGGUCCGACCACUCUAGCUUCUGUGGCAAAGCAACAAGGCAGUCUGGGAACGUUUUGUCACUGUAGCUAAAAGAUCUAGAACUGGCAACUCAAACCACAACCUCAGUGUCCUGGAGAGGCCUCUGAUUCCUCUGCUGGCUGACCAGACACCCUACCACCCUCUGUGUCUCUCCAGCCUUUUCCAAAUUGUCUGAGAUGCUCUGCAUUAUUUCAAGAAAUCUCCUUUCUGUUUAAACC
RNAcentral lists this long non-coding RNA (557 nucleotides) under Mus pahari (shrew mouse). Its description in RNAcentral is "lncRNA (MGP_PahariEiJ_G0004379.1)". Lineage: Eukaryota; Metazoa; Chordata; Mammalia; Rodentia; Muridae. The record is from RNAcentral.